UAUACAACAGGAUGUGCUUGCAACAGAACUGAUGCCUCCUUCUUCUGCCAUAAGGUUUGCUCACCUUCUGUUUCUCUGAUUGUGAGUGAAAAUCCAGAGGAAGAUAGGUGCCAGCUGAGGUACUGAAAAUGCAAUCACAGGUGAGUAGGAAAUUCUUUAACUGAAAUUCCAUUUCUGUUGCCAGGAGUUGGGAAGUACCCUCUUGAU
Molecule: long non-coding RNA, 207 nt
Filed under: Dasypus novemcinctus (nine-banded armadillo)
Lineage: Eukaryota; Metazoa; Chordata; Mammalia; Cingulata; Dasypodidae
Description: lncRNA (ENSDNOG00000052034.1)
Source: RNAcentral